RNAcentral lists this ribosomal RNA (503 nucleotides) under uncultured bacterium. Its description in RNAcentral is "partial 16S ribosomal RNA". It matches the Rfam family "Bacterial small subunit ribosomal RNA", at positions 30 to 523 of the family's 1533-position model. The record is from RNAcentral.
AUUGAACGCUGGCGGCAGGCUUAACACAUGCAAGUCGAGCGGAGUGAUGGUGCUUGCACUAUCACUUAGCGGCGGACGGGUGAGUAAUGCUUAGGAAUCUGCCUAUUAGUGGGGGACAACAUCUCGAAAGGGAUGCUAAUACCGCAUACGUCCUACGGGAGAAAGCAGGGGAUCACUUGUGACCUUGCGCUAAUAGAUGAGCCUAAGUCGGAUUAGCUAGUUGGUGGGGUAAAGGCCUACCAAGGCGACGAUCUGUAGCGGGUCUGAGAGGAUGAUCCGCCACACUGGGACUGAGACACGGCCCAGACUCCUACGGGAGGCAGCAGUGGGGAAUAUUGGACAAUGGGGGGAACCCUGAUCCAGCCAUGCCGUGUGUGUGAAGAAGGCCUUAUGGUUGUAAAGCACUUUAAGCGAGGAGGAGGCUCUUUUGGUUAAUACCCAAGAUGAGUGGACGUUACUCGCAGAAUAAGCACCGGCUGACUCUGUGCCAGCCGCCGCAGUAA